UCCUGAGUAGUUCAGUUGGUAAAGCAUCUGCCUGCAAUGUGGGAGACCUGGGUUCAAUUCCUGGCUUGGGAA
This 72-nucleotide transfer RNA is filed under the name Capra hircus (goat). It matches the Rfam family "tRNA". Rfam says of the family: Transfer RNA (tRNA) molecules are approximately 80 nucleotides in length. Their secondary structure includes four short double-helical elements and three loops (D, anti-codon, and T loops). The record is from Rfam by way of RNAcentral. Lineage: Eukaryota; Metazoa; Chordata; Mammalia; Artiodactyla; Bovidae. RNAcentral also lists the same sequence under 1 other name.